UACGUAGGGGGCGAGCGUUGUUCGGAAUCACUGGGCGUAAAGCGUGCGUAGGCGGUUAUGAAAGUUAGGAGUGAAAGCCCCAGGCUCAACUUGGGAAUUGCUCUUAAUACUCCAUGACUCGAAUUCGGGAGAGGAUAGCGGAAUUGUCAGUGUAGCAGUGAAAUGCGUAGAUAUUGACAGGAACACCGGUGGCGUAAGCGGCUAUCUGGACCGACAUUGACGCUGAGGCACGAAAGCGUGGGGAUCAAACAGG
Molecule: ribosomal RNA, 253 nt
Filed under: uncultured bacterium
Lineage: Bacteria
Description: partial 16S ribosomal RNA
Rfam family: Bacterial small subunit ribosomal RNA
Source: RNAcentral